AAAUUCCAAUUAAACAUAUUCAUAAACAAACAAAUAUCUUUAUGUUUGUGGUUAUAAUGUAGCAAAUUAUGAAAAAGUUCAAUGGAUGUGAAUGUUUUUGCCAGCCACUGUACUUCUAAAAAUACUGAAAUGGAAAGAUGGAUGGAUGGAUCCACUCAGGUUAAUGUGUAUUUAUUUGUACUAGGAAACCACAAGAUGGGGAAUAAGCAACCAAAAAGUAACGAAACAGAUCCAGUUGAAUCAUCAACAAAACCUAAGAAGAACAAGAAGAAGAAGGAGGAUUUUGCCACAGGCCAAACUUUUGGGGCAGAUAAAGCUUUUAAGAAUAAAGUUAAGAAGAAGCUAAAGAGAAAAAUCUGCAAAAAGAAGAUACGCCACCUCAUGGUUUUUUGUCCCAUCACGUCUCGUGUUGGCUCAGAUGUGGAAGCAGCAUUGGAGCAAGUGAAAAGUGAUCAGCGUAUCAUUUUGGUUUUGAUGCAUCACACCAGAGAUCCUGAUUACUCAACUGCUGGGACAAAUUGGUCUGAAAACAUUAAUAAUGUUGACUUGGAUGUUCACGUUCUCUUUCAUGAAUCUGUGCCGGGGUUGUUGAAAUGUUCACAAAAUGAUAAGGCUGUGGAUCAAAUUGUUAAAUUUUUAAAAAAGAAGACAAAGUAAAGAAGAUCAGCAAAAAAUAGAAAAAUAAGAAAGAGGGAACCAAAUUAGAAGGAAAAAUUUGAAAAAUCAAUUGAACUAGAUGACAUGCAAAAGGAAGAAGAAAGUAUUCCUGCACUGAGUUACUAUUAAGUAGCCACAUAUUGACUUGUUAAAAUUCAAAAAGAUAAUUUCUUCUUGGAAACAAAAUGACAGAAUUAUUUAAAAAAAUAUUAUAUGUAUAAAACAUGAGGAUUAUUAAGUUCAACACCUGACAUGAAUCAUGUUGUUUUUGAUUUGUAUUAAAAUGUAUUUUACAAGUACUAGGUAAACAAAAAAUCAGCAGAAAGCUAUAUACAAGAAUGUAUAAUCAUAUUUAAUAAAUCAUGUGUUCUGAUAAGGCUUGUCAGAAUAAAAGUACAUUCUGAAAGGAAAUUUUUUUUCAUUUACCACAAUUUCCUGCAACAUUUUUUAAAUCUUUUUGAUCUGAUUUAACUGCUCUAAUGCUAUGUGUCAUCUUUUACAUUAGCUGAAAAUAAAAAAUAAUAGAAAGAUGGGAAACAUUCUGUGAGUAAUUAAUCUACAUAAUGUGUUUCGUUUAGAUUAACUUUUCAAUAACAUUUUAAUUGAUCAAAUAUGAAUUUAUGUAUUUAAGAAUAAAAGUUCUCUCUUGUCACUUUGUGUUUAAAUGACAUGAAAUUCAGUUUUCAGGACUGAAGACCUUGUAAAAUAACUAAUAAUUAAAAUAUCUUUAAGCUUCUCUGUCACGUUAGAGAAUCAUUCCUGUUUUUCUGCUUUUAUUCAUUUCUGAGGUUCAUGUCAGAACCAUAGUUGUUUAUUUUGUACAUGUUGCCUCUGUCCUUUCUGUAUGAAGCAUAAUACUCAAGAUAAUGAUGUCAUUGCCUCCAUCUUUUUUCAACUUUGACCUUUGGCUAAAGCUAAGCCUUAUCUCUCUUUUUAUGUCAUUUGCUAUUCAUGUUUUUAUCACAUUGACUGUUGUAAUUCUUUUCUUUGUAUUAGUGUAGAUUAAUCAUCUCAGCAUCAUUUAGAAAUAGUUCAAAUUGCUGCUGAUCUUAAAGCCGGUGCUCUUCAAAUGUUUUCUGCUUAAACCCAUUCAGAAAUCUUUACUUCCUUUGGUCUUUGGCUGAUUGGCCACAAGACACUAAAAUAUUUCUACAAAGUUUGAACUCAUUAAACUUGUAAGGCACUUACACUAAAACUCCACAGUUUUAGUGUAAAUGCUGCAAGUACUAAAAUAUUUACAGUAAAGUAAGUACCUGUAAUAUGGAAGAAUCUUUGUCAUGAACGUUAAAUAUCUCCUGUAGCUGUUCAACAGCUGUAUUUUUUUAUCUUUUGAUAUUGUGGAUUAUUUGUGACAUAUUUUGGACAUUUUUAAUUGGCUGAUUUUAUUGAUUGAUUUGACUGAUUUUGUGCUUCAUUUAUUUGCAUAAAAGCUGUAAAUAAAAGCUGACUUUCCAAUUUCUAUAUUAUGCAUAUGACUUGAUCAUGUCACUCUCACAUUUCGGAAGUUCGGUUCAUUGUCAAAAUUAGAAAUAAAUUAAUAAAAAAAUAAAAGAAAUGAAUAAACUUUUAUUUUUAUUUUUUUUGCUGUUGUGUUUCCUCUGAGCCAUGUCUUUUCAAGUAAACAAGAAAACUGUAAGGAUCUUUAAUA
Gambusia affinis (western mosquitofish) is the source of this 2305-nucleotide long non-coding RNA. RefSeq lists it as uncharacterized. NCBI's taxonomy places the organism in Eukaryota, Metazoa, Chordata, Actinopteri, Cyprinodontiformes, Poeciliidae. The record is from RefSeq and is a predicted model, not a curated record. The transcript is spliced from 4 exons.